This is an RNA transcript of Schistocerca gregaria, 2668 nucleotides long. It is a transcript of the gene named glutamyl-tRNA(Gln) amidotransferase subunit A, mitochondrial, with no coding region annotated. NCBI's taxonomy places the organism in Eukaryota, Metazoa, Arthropoda, Insecta, Orthoptera, Acrididae. The record is from RefSeq and is a predicted model, not a curated record. The transcript has 10 exons.
UAAAGAUGAAUCGAGACAUUCUUAGAUCAUAAACUCGCACAGUAUCUAAUGGCGGGCAUUUGAGAUUCGUGAGAAAAUGUAAACAGUCACUUUGAAAUGUUAUGACUGGGUAAAGAGACUUACCGUCGUGCGAGGUUCGUAGUUGAUAUUGUUCUUCUAGCAUCUUGAUAUUUACCAAUAAUGCUCUCUCUGUCAAUUCGUCAGGUCUCUCAGUUUUUACGUGAUGGUUUACUGUUGCCGAGCAGUUUGUGUGAGGAGUGCUUGGCAAGAUCUCGACGCAUUGAAGAGCUUAACGCAUUCAUACGCAUUGAAGGAAAGUUGGCACGCGCACAGGCAUCAGAAUCCAAUAUUCGAUAUAAAGAUGGUUGUCCACAGGGUCCACUUGAUGGUGUCCCUGUAGCAGUAAAAGACAAUUUCUGUACAAAGAAUAUAAAAACAACUUGUGCUUCAAGGAUGUUGCAAGACUUUUGCCCUUCAUAUGAUGCAACUGUGGUGCGGAAGCUGAAGGAAAGUGGUGCAAUAUUAUUGGGGAAGUGCAAUAUGGAUGAAUUUGCUAUGGGGUGUGGCACUGUAGAUUCACUCUAUGGUCCCACUAAAAAUAUCUGGCGUUCAAGAUUCCAAGGUGUAAAAAAUACUCAAGACAAUCCUUUGCAGCAUGAAGAGUUUGACAGUGGCGAUUGUGCCCCUUUCAAAAAACAAAGGAUUCGCGAGUUUCAUACAGUGAGCACCUUGACGCAUGCUGCAGAUGAUGAUGAUUGGCACAUAGCGGGCGGAAGUUCAGGAGGGAGCGCCGUCGCUGUAGCAAGUGGAGCUGUGUUUGCGGCACUGGGCUCAGAUACAGGUGGCUCUGUGCGCAAUCCUGCGGCAUACUGUGGCAUUGUAGGUUUUAAACCUACGUAUGGUUUGCUGUCGAGGUAUGGUCUCAUACCUCUUGUAAAUUCAAUGGAUGUGCCAGGUAUACUUACCAGAACAGUUGAUGAUGCAGUAACAAUGUUUAACAUUCUAGCUGGCCACGACCCAAUGGACUCGACUACAGUGCGUAAACCAUUUUCACCGAUUUGUCUUCCUAAGGAUCCAGAUGUUAAGGGUCUGCGAGUGGGUGUGCCUGCAGAGUACCAUUGCCCUGGGCUGUCCACAGAGGUGCUGGCAGUGUGGACUGAGGUUGCAGAUUUACUGGAACAUAAUGGAGCAAUUGUUUCACAGGUAUCCUUACCACAUACACAGCUGUCAAUAGCAUGUUAUUCGGUUCUGAAUCACACUGAAGUUGCUAGCAACAUGGCUCGCUACGAUGGCAUUGAAUAUGGAUACCGGGCAAAUGAAAGCAAUUCAGCUGAAGCACUCUUUGCUGCUUCUCGCAGAUCUGGCUUUGGUGAGGUUGUUCGCAGCCGAAUUCUCUCUGGGAACUAUUUCCUCCUGAGAAGGAAUUACAACAAGUACUUCGUACAAGCAUUGAAACUGCGAAGGCUGAUAGCUCAGGAUUUUGAACAGGUGUGGUCUUUGGGUGUUGAUGUGCUGCUGACACCAGUAACUAUGACAGAUGCUCCGAGGUACUCAGAAUUUGUCAAGCUGGACAAUAGACAACAAUGCAGUAGUCAAGACUAUUGCACACAGCCUGCCAACCUUGCAGGUUUACCUGCCAUCAGUGUUCCAGUGAAGCUAUCCAAAAAUGGUCUACCACUCAGUUUGCAGUUAAUGGCACCCAUGUUCAAAGAAGAUACAUUGUUUUGCACUGCCAAAUGGAUUGAAGAAAGUUUAAAAUUUCCUGCAGCUGAACUAGCCAUGUGAAACAAAUGCAGGGUUACAAAAAGAUUCUGCACCACUAUUCUUUGAUUUUUACUUUAUCCAUAAUGGAUAUGAGACAGAUACUGGUGUUGGUGAGGCUUUGGGGGCAACAGUGGGACUCGCUCACUGUGUUUCUCAAGAGGGAUAUGACCUCCUUGGCUGGUGCCAACAGUCUUCUACAUCAAGAAGUUCGACCCAUGUACCACCUGGUCUUAACUUGGCUCAGCGGCUGUGUAACUGAGCAUCUGCAACGUUAGCACUACUUAUCCAGCAAUGGUAUUGUUUGGCUGCUCCUGUUACAUAUCUGACCAGCUGUCAGCUACUGGUACACUGAACACCCAAAGUUCUUCACUUCCCUCUUUAGAAUUCCCCAGAGCUGUGUGAAGGAAAUUUAAAUUAUUCUCUGUGAAAUAAAUGGUGGACACACAAACUACGAGGAAUUUCUCCGCUCUUGAUGUAUUCUACCCAGGAUAAUUACACACACACACACACACACACACACACACACACUUAACAGUCCUGAAAUCACACCAAAUAAUUUCCAACACAAAAUUGUGAUGUAAUUCUGGUGUUCCCUUGCAAACAUGUAUAAUAGUAAAUGUCACAAAGUGUUUAUUAUAUAUUUUGUCAGUGUUAACAGCCAAACACAUUUAAAUGUACAUAUGUAUUAUUUGUGAACUAUUUAUUGGACACUGAAUUCACUAGGUUGACAUCAGGAGGCUCAAAAUACUUCCAGGUUUAAGGAAAAUACUUAUCUGGGUACCUGUCGUCGAAAUAGUGAAUAAUUUAAAUUGUUUUAGCUCCUCCACUAAGGUUCCCUUCGUUGCAAUGUCAAGCAGUUUGUGACAUGCUAACUACAAAAAGAUUUAUGUGAAAUAAAAAAUUU